Molecule: ribosomal RNA, 253 nt
Filed under: uncultured bacterium
Lineage: Bacteria
Description: partial 16S ribosomal RNA
Rfam family: Bacterial small subunit ribosomal RNA
Source: RNAcentral
UACGUAGGAAGCAAGCGUUGUUCGGAAUUACUGGGCGUAAAGAGCGUGUAGGCGGUUCUGUAAGUCUGUUGUGAAAUCUCCCGGCUUAACUGGGAGGGUGCGGUGGAGACUGGAGUGCUAGAGUGUGGGAGAGGUAAGCGGAAUUCCUGGUGUAGCGGUGAAAUGCGUAGAUAUCAGGAGGAACACCUGUGGUGUAGACAGCUUACUGGACCGCGACUGACGCUGAGACACGAAAGCGUGGGUAGCAAACAGG